Pyrus x bretschneideri (Chinese white pear) is the source of this 830-nucleotide long non-coding RNA. RefSeq lists it as uncharacterized. The record is from RefSeq and is a predicted model, not a curated record. NCBI's taxonomy places the organism in Eukaryota, Viridiplantae, Streptophyta, Magnoliopsida, Rosales, Rosaceae. The transcript is spliced from 2 exons.
AUUUUGUAGAGAGAAAAAGAUAAAUUUUUUGAAAAAAAAAAAAAAAAAAUACUCAAUGAAAAGAAAUGUUGGUUAGUCGCAGCUUCCUCUUCCCUCCGAUUUACAAACUCACCUUCUUCACCCAAGCCCAACACCCACACACUCGCCUUCUCUUUCAGUCUCAUCGGAUUCAAAUUAUGGCUGCGGAGGCCACCACCUCAUCCAAUACGACCGCGAAGGUGGCGGGGAUGGACUUCCCGACGAAAAAGGCCUACGCUCCUCCUUGGGCGUCGCACAUCAACCCCAUCCCUUCUCACACCUUCCCUCUCGGACACUUUCCCACUCCAAUUCACAAAUGGAAUAUUCCCAAUUUACCCCCAACACUGAGGUCUGGUUUGUUGGAAAUUCAAAUCAAAACAGGUUGUAAAAUAUUGCUGCUAGCUGUUUGUUGCUUUCCAGCUACAAAGAACAAAGUCUCCUCCAUGUGCUAGCCGAAAGGUGUUGAAAGACAGCAAGGAAUGAUGCAGAGCAUGUGUGUAAAAGUGUCUAGCAGCUGGUGCAUAUGUGAAAGGGUGUAAAGAUGGUAAUCACCAUCUGUCGCUGCAUGUGUGUGUGCCAGAUUGUUCUAAGUUCAUUUGAUCUGUUUGAAUGGUUGUAUGUGUUGUUGUAUUUUUUUAUUUAAAGCACUUGAGUGGUUCUUUGCUGUUUGGAAUGUAUAAAUAAGCCUCUCGUAAGGCUUUAAAUGAUAGAGUGUAUCAUCCGAAACAUUAAAUCCAAUUCCCAUUUCCAUUUCAGCUUGUAAGCUCCAAAAGAGUUGUAAACCUCUUUCUAAUAUUUCAAAGUGUUUGUUA